CUACACCCGCUAGUUCAGCCAGGAGGCCCUGCGCGGCUCCGGGGAGAGCUGGGUGGUUAUGCCACCUCAUUAGACACAUUGGUGGACGAUGCCGCGGAUUAGCGGGAUGGUUUGUGUACAAACGAAGCCGUGUCACUUCUCAAGUGUCGGUGCUCAACGUGGCAACGCCCCUCCCGCCCCCAGUACAGAGAUCCUGCCCAUCCACCGACAAUCCCCCUCCUCAUCUUCCUUCCCCCAGGUGCGAGUGAUUCAAGGAAAUCCGACUGGAGGGAACACACGCUGCGAUGCACCCUCUCCUCUUCCAUUGAGCCAGGGGUGACCUUGAGAGACUCAGGCCACCUCACCAGGCUCUACCAGGAACAGCGUCUACAGCUGGUAGAGAGCACGGGCUGCAGAGAGGUAAAGAUGGGGUUCGGAAGCCAAGGCUCCCCUUGUUGCAUGGGUGACAUCAGGCAAGCUACUCAACCUCUAACCCUGGCUUCCCCUUCUGUAUACUGGAGACAGUAUCGGCCCCACAGGCACUUGUGGAGCAAGUGGGUUUGAGCUGAGCUCCUCUGAAAAUCAGAGGCACACUCAGAGAGUAGCUCAGAAAACCAGGAUGUGUCAGUUUCAUUUGCUGGGAAGCAGAAGCCAAGAUAGAAUUAGAAGUGCAAUGUCUGUGAAGGAAGAAUAAAGGGAAAAGGAAACAGGAGUGGGGCAGGGGGCAGACCAAAAGGAAGACAGACAAGUGUGAGAAGGAGCCCCACAGUGCAGUGUAAGCUUAAGAAGGUGUGGAGAGGAUGGGAGUCACUCACUGGGCAGGAAUGGCCCAGCUCCAGCACCUUGCUAUGACCAGCCAGCUGCUGGGAACAGGCCAGGAAGAGUGUGGCCUUAGCGCAAACACUGGGGUGGAUCUCGAGAUGAAGGUGUGGCCGCUGGAAGCUGUCACUUCACCACUCCUCUUCUGAAGAGAGAGCUGAGCCCUGCACAUGGGAGCAUUGGUGAAAAGGGUGGUAGACGUUUAUCAGUAACCUUACUGGUUUUGUGCUCCAUCCUCCAUCUCCCAAAGUCCCCCUGACCUUGCCUUCAGCUCCAGGAAUGGCCACAUGACUCAGACAAAGCCAACCAGCCAUCCCAUUUCAGUGGCCAGUGAUGAAUGAUUCAGUGUUUACCCAAACGCAUCCAAUCAGGGUGAAUCUGAGGACAUUUGCUGGGGAGGCUGGGACACAGAUAAUCUCUUUUCUGACAGAUGGUAACAAGAAAGUAGGUAGCUGCAGGGGCUGCUGGCAGCCAUCUUGAGACAUGAAAGGUGUCCAAAUUGGGAUGAAUUCAGCACUGAAGAUGGUGGUACAGAGAAACAGGAGAUAGGGCCUUUGAUCACAUUGUUGGAUGGCUGGUUAAGCCU
This 1384-nucleotide long non-coding RNA is filed under the name Homo sapiens (human). RNAcentral describes it as "long non-coding RNA NONHSAT194087.1". The record is from RNAcentral. Lineage: Eukaryota; Metazoa; Chordata; Mammalia; Primates; Hominidae.